This is a small nucleolar RNA of Pan troglodytes (chimpanzee), 110 nucleotides long. It matches the Rfam family "Small nucleolar RNA U3". From Rfam's summary of the family: Small nucleolar RNAs (snoRNAs) are involved in the processing and modification of rRNA in the nucleolus. There are two main classes of snoRNAs: the box C/D class, and the box H/ACA class. U3 snoRNA is a member of the box C/D class. The record is from Rfam. NCBI's taxonomy places the organism in Eukaryota, Metazoa, Chordata, Mammalia, Primates, Hominidae.
AAGACUACACUUUCAGGGAUCAUUUCUAUAGUUCAUUCCUAGAGAAAUUUCUCUGAACAUGUAGAGCAUGAAAAACUAAUUAUGGAAAGGGAAGACCAUUACCAGCCAGU